AGAGAACUUACGGGUAUAGGUCAUUUGGCCCUGGUAGUAAGAAGGAAGAUACACGUGUUGCGCGUGUGGAGGCUGCCCGUACACAUUCAUAGCUGCUAUGCCGAUUUCAUCACCACCUACAUUAUACGCCGGCGAUUGCACCAGAGCGCAAAAGGAAUCGUACCAUUGCUGCCUGACCAAAAUGAGCUGCAACGUGCAAUGACAAUAGAAUCAAGUGGACAAGUCGAAUACUGAGAGAAAACAAUACAAAAACACAACCUAGAACUAUUUAAAAGUACUUGUUAUGUCUCUAAUGAUAAUUGAAUUAUAAUGACAAUGUUAUUAGUAUAACCCACAAAUGUUGAUAAACAUAACUACAUUACCUUUGUUUUAACAUCAAUCUGUGCACCAUUCUUUACGAGAAUAGAAGCAACAUUGACUUUAUCCUCUUGUGCGCAUAAGUGUAACGGCGUAAGACCAUUCUGUAAAGAUAAAUAAAUAAUAGAAUAAAUAAAUAAUAGAAUAACAAAUUUCUCAA
Long non-coding RNA from Vespa mandarinia (Asian giant hornet), 517 nucleotides. Lineage: Eukaryota; Metazoa; Arthropoda; Insecta; Hymenoptera; Vespidae. The record is from RefSeq and is a predicted model, not a curated record.